ACAUCGGUAGCACAGUGGUUAGUGCAGUUCGCCACAAACAAAAAAGACGCGGGUUCAAUUCCCGUCCGAUGUC
RNAcentral lists this transfer RNA (73 nucleotides) under Nippostrongylus brasiliensis. It matches the Rfam family "tRNA". Rfam says of the family: Transfer RNA (tRNA) molecules are approximately 80 nucleotides in length. Their secondary structure includes four short double-helical elements and three loops (D, anti-codon, and T loops). Further hydrogen bonds mediate the characteristic L-shaped molecular structure. tRNAs have two regions of fundamental functional importance: the anti-codon, which is responsible for specific mRNA codon recognition, and the 3' end, to which the tRNAs corresponding amino acid is attached (by aminoacyl-tRNA synthetases). tRNAs cope with the degeneracy of the genetic code in two manners: having more than one tRNA (with a specific anti-codon) for a particular amino acid; and 'wobble' base-pairing, i.e. permitting non-standard base-pairing at the 3rd anti-codon position. Lineage: Eukaryota; Metazoa; Nematoda; Chromadorea; Rhabditida; Heligmosomidae. The record is from Rfam by way of RNAcentral.